Molecule: ribosomal RNA, 819 nt
Filed under: uncultured Actinomycetes bacterium
Lineage: Bacteria; Bacillati; Actinomycetota; Actinomycetes
Description: bacterial SSU rRNA
Rfam family: Bacterial small subunit ribosomal RNA
Source: RNAcentral
ACUCCUACGGGAGGCAGCAGUGGGGAAUAUUGCACAAUGGGCGCAAGCCUGAUGCAGCAACGCCGCGUGAGGGACGACGGCCUUCGGGUUGUAAACCUCUUUUAGUAGGGAAGAAGCGAAAGUGACGGUACCUGCAGAAAAAGCACCGGCUAACUACGUGCCAGCAGCCGCGGUAAUACGUAGGGUGCAAGCGUUGUCCGGAAUUAUUGGGCGUAAAGAGCUCGUAGGCGGUUUGUCGCGUCUGCUGUGAAAUCCCGAGGCUCAACCUCGGGCCUGCAGUGGGUACGGGCAGACUAGAGUGCGGUAGGGGAGAUUGGAAUUCCUGGUGUAGCGGUGGAAUGCGCAGAUAUCAGGAGGAACACCGAUGGCGAAGGCAGAUCUCUGGGCCGUAACUGACGCUGAGGAGCGAAAGCGUGGGGAGCGAACAGGAUUAGAUACCCUGGUAGUCCACGCCGUAAACGUUGGGAACUAGAUGUGGGGACCAUUCCACGGUCUCCGUGUCGCAGCUAACGCAUUAAGUUCCCCGCCUGGGGAGUACGGCCGCAAGGCUAAAACUCAAAGGAAUUGACGGGGGCCCGCACAAGCGGCGGAGCAUGCGGAUUAAUUCGAUGCAACGCGAAGAACCUUACCAAGGCUUGACAUAUACCGGAAACGGCUGGAAACAGUCGCCCCGCAAGGUCGGUAUACAGGUGGUGCAUGGUUGUCGUCAGCUCGUGUCGUGAGAUGUUGGGUUAAGUCCCGCAACGAGCGCAACCCUCGUUCUAUGUUGCCAGCACGUAAUGGUGGGAACUCAUAGGAGACUGCCGGGGUCAACUCGGA